RNAcentral lists this ribosomal RNA (115 nucleotides) under uncultured bacterium. RNAcentral's name for it is "partial 16S ribosomal RNA". It matches the Rfam family "Bacterial small subunit ribosomal RNA", at positions 1369 to 1482 of the family's 1533-position model. The record is from RNAcentral.
CGUUCCCGGGCCUUGUACACACCGCCCGUCACACCACGAAAGUUGGUAACACCCGAAGCCGGUGGCCUAACCGCAAGGAGGGAGCCGUCGAAGGUGGGAUACAGCGAUUGGGGUG